CGCGGCCUAUCAGCUUGUUGGUGAGGUAACGGCUCACCAAGGCAUCGACGGGUAGCUGGUCUGAGAGGACGAUCAGCCACACUGGGACUGAGACACGGCCCAGACUCCUACGGGAGGCAGCAGUAGGGAAUCUUGCGCAAUGGGGGCAACCCUGACGCAGCAACGCCGCGUGUGGGAUGACGGCUUUCGGGUUGUAAACCACUUUCAGUGAUGACGAAAAUGACGGUACCUGCAGAAGAAGCUCCGGCCAACUACGUGCCAGCAGCCGCGGUAAUACGUAGGGAGCGAGCGUUGUCCGGAAUUAUUGGGCGUAAAGAGCUCGUAGGCGGUUCAGUAAGUCGGGUGUGAAAACUCAAGGCUCAACCUUGAGACGCCACUCGAUACUGCUGUGACUUGAGUCCGGUAGAGGAGUGUGGAAUUCCUGGUGUAGCGGUGAAAUGCGCAGAUAUCAGGAGGAACACCAGCGGCGAAGGCGGCACUCUGGGCCGGUACUGACGCUGAGGAGCGAAAGCAUGGGGAGCAAACAGGAUUAGAUACCCUGGUAGUCCACGCCGUAAACGGUGGGCGCUAGGUGUGGGGAACAUUCCACGUUCUCCGUGCCGCAGCUAACGCAUUAAGCGCCCCGCCUGGGGAGUACGG
Molecule: ribosomal RNA, 639 nt
Filed under: uncultured Actinomycetes bacterium
Lineage: Bacteria; Bacillati; Actinomycetota; Actinomycetes
Description: bacterial SSU rRNA
Rfam family: Bacterial small subunit ribosomal RNA
Source: RNAcentral